CAGUCGCCGCGGUAAUACAGAGGGUGCAAGCGUUAAUCGGAAUUACUGGGCGUAAAGCGCGCGUAGGUGGUUUGUUAAGUUGGAUGUGAAAGCCCCGGGCUCAACCUGGGAACUGCAUCCAAAACUGGCAAGCUAGAGUACGGUAGAGGUUGGUGGAAUUUCCUGUGUAGCGGUGAAAUGCGUAGAUAUAGGAAGGAACACCAGUGGCGAAGGCGACCACCUGGACUGAUACUGACACUGAGGUGCGAAAGCGUGGGGAGCAAACAGGAUUAGAUACCCGCGUAGUCCCUGUCUCUUAUAC
Molecule: ribosomal RNA, 301 nt
Filed under: uncultured bacterium
Lineage: Bacteria
Description: partial 16S ribosomal RNA
Rfam family: Bacterial small subunit ribosomal RNA
Source: RNAcentral